This 465-nucleotide ribosomal RNA is filed under the name uncultured bacterium. RNAcentral describes it as "partial 16S ribosomal RNA". It matches the Rfam family "Bacterial small subunit ribosomal RNA", at positions 28 to 507 of the family's 1533-position model. The record is from RNAcentral.
GAUGAACGCUGGCGGCGUGCUUAACACAUGCAAGUCGAACGGAAAGGCUCCUGCUUGCAGGGGUACUCGAGUGGCGAACGGGUGAGUAACACGUGGGUGAUCUGCCCUGCACUUCGGGAUAAGCCUGGGAAACUGGGUCUAAUACCGGAUAGGACCACAUUUUGGAUGGUGUGGUGGAAAGUUUUUCGGUGUGGGAUGAGCUCGCGGCCUAUCAGCUUGUUGGUGGGGUAAUGGCCUACCAAGGCGUCGACGGGUAGCCGGCCUGAGAGGGUGUACGGCCACAUUGGGACUGAGAUACGGCCCAGACUCCCACGGGAGGCAGCAGUGGGGAAUAUUGCACAAUGGGCGCAAGCCUGAUGCAGCGACGCCGCGUGGGGAAUGACGGCCUUCGGGUUGUAAACUCCUUUCGCUAGGGACGAAGCGCAAGUGACGGUACCUGGAGAAGAAGCACCGGCUAACUACGUG